AGAAACUUAGGUUAACCCAUAAAACCAUGGACCUUCAAAGCCCAAAACAGUGGUUAAACUCCACUAGAUUCUG
Molecule: transfer RNA, 73 nt
Filed under: Brachymeles mindorensis
Lineage: Eukaryota; Metazoa; Chordata; Lepidosauria; Squamata; Scincidae
Description: tRNA-Trp
Rfam family: tRNA
About the family: Transfer RNA (tRNA) molecules are approximately 80 nucleotides in length. Their secondary structure includes four short double-helical elements and three loops (D, anti-codon, and T loops). Further hydrogen bonds mediate the characteristic L-shaped molecular structure. tRNAs have two regions of fundamental functional importance: the anti-codon, which is responsible for specific mRNA codon recognition, and the 3' end, to which the tRNAs corresponding amino acid is attached (by aminoacyl-tRNA synthetases). tRNAs cope with the degeneracy of the genetic code in two manners: having more than one tRNA (with a specific anti-codon) for a particular amino acid; and 'wobble' base-pairing, i.e. permitting non-standard base-pairing at the 3rd anti-codon position.
Source: RNAcentral